RNAcentral lists this unclassified non-coding RNA (239 nucleotides) under Hevea brasiliensis (rubber tree). Lineage: Eukaryota; Viridiplantae; Streptophyta; Magnoliopsida; Malpighiales; Euphorbiaceae. The record is from RNAcentral.
GCCAUCAUGGCGUUCUCCUUGGCCUGCUGCAGAUCUCGAUUCUGCUCAGCCAGUUUCUCUCUCAUGAGCUGGGACUCCUCCAGAAGCGCGGCAUGGGAGAGAGCUACAGCCACCUGGUCAGCAACCACCUUUAUUAUCUCAAGUUCCUGGUUAUUCCAAGAUCUAGGUUGUCCACCAGGGAGAACUAAAACCAAAAUCGCAUAGUAAGUCGGAACUAUCUCAGGAGUUCCUCCCUUAAA